Molecule: long non-coding RNA, 2694 nt
Filed under: Sus scrofa (pig)
Lineage: Eukaryota; Metazoa; Chordata; Mammalia; Artiodactyla; Suidae
Description: lncRNA (ENSSSCG00065063979.1)
Source: RNAcentral
GGGCCGAGUGCGGGAGAGGACAUGCGUCUUUAUCCCACAGCAGAGGGAAACCUCCCCAGGCCUCUAGUCCAGGCCUGACCCCUAUCGGGGUGGCCUUUGGGAGGGAGGGUCCCUUGGGAUGCUAGGUAAAGAUCGGGGAGGUCAGGGCGGCAGGAGCCGGGCUGGCAGGAGGCUGACGGUCCCUGCAGGUGCAUGAAGGUGCAGGAGAACUUGCAAGACCCCAAGAAUGGAUAUGCCUCCUUAAACGUGUACCCUGUGUGCCCCGCUCACCUUACCCGAGACCCAGCCCCAGCCCCGGUCACAGAGGGAGAAAUUUGAAUAUAAGACACAAUGGAAAUAGCAAAACCAGUUCCACUCUCCUUAGUCUUCUAAACAGAAAGAGGGAUUCGAUGUGGGAAGCAGUAAAAGUUUAUUCCACACCAGGAGAUUUUAUGUUUUUGCCCCUAGAGCACUUUUCCCCUUGUUUUACUCGUGUUUUGGAAAUCUAGAAGACUUGUGAGUAUGGAGGAAAACAAUGAAAACAGCCUAACUGUUGGAUAUUUUUAAAAGAAAAUUCAGCAGAGCAGUUUACCCCCUUCCAGAUGUGGUUUCGCAUGGGCACAGUGGGACGGAAACUAGAUUCUCAACAGCAAAAGCCUUAUUUUCACUGAGAGUGGUUGAAGGAAAAUUAUUGUAUGCUGUUAAAAGAACUGAAAAACAGCAUGUGAAUCUCAUCAGCUGGAUAUAUUGUGACAACAUCAGCUGAUUGUUAUGCAUCUCAAAAUAUGAAACUCCAUCAAUUUUUCUAAAUUUGCUUUUGCACAUCAGUGGAAUAUCUAUCUAUCUAUCUAUCUAUCUAUCUAUCUAUCUAUCUAUCUAUCUAUCUAUCUAUCUAUCAUCAAGUCUAGAAAGCUGAGAAGGAAAGCAGAGACCAAAAGCCCAGCUGGAAGGGCACCUGUUGGCUGCAUCUGUUGACUGCACCUGUUAGUAGCAUCAGGAGGCACACUUGCACAAGGUGUGGAGUAGUCUGGAGGCUUGUGGGAAAGGGAGAUGAUCUGAUCGACACCACCAGUCUUCCCGCAUCCUCAGCACCACCUCCAUCCUCAUCGGAUGUAGAUACACUAUCCAGCCUCAGUGACUCGCUCCAGCUCACGCACCUGCUACAUGGACAUCGUGGAGGCCAAGCUUCUGAUCUUGGCAGGACAGUGGCUCCGCACAGCUGAUCAUUUGACAUCCCAGGACCUAGGGAUGGACAUGGUGAAAUAUAACAUUCUGAUCUGGCCCUAAAUCUGCUGCUUGGUCACAGAAGGCCAAGGGAAGGCUUAUGCGGUUAAGGGAAAAAACUCACCCGAAGCACAUCAAGUGUUGUCUGCUGUCAUCAGGCUCUGAGCAGUUCUCUCUACAACGAUGCUUAGAAAACCAGGAAGAAAUACUCCCACCUCCAAGGCUGUGUUGCUAAGUGUGUGUUUCCAGAGUUGCCUUGGGCAAAGUCCGUUGCCCAUCACCACAGCUUCGGGUCAUCGCUGCCACGAGGACUACCCCUUCAGAGGUCAGCUGCACCCAGCACCCAUCAAAACCACACGGAGAUCACCCAUGACAAACGGGGAACAGACAACUUUGCACGUUCAUGCCCCAGAUGUUAGUGCAGGUGCUCUCGGGUGAUGAGCUUAAACCUGCCCUGAACUCUCUCUGUGUGUGUUAAAGCUUUCAAAUAUGAAACAUUUCUGCCCUGAGCAGGACAAUAGGUCCACACACCUGACCACGUGAUACCCACGACCCUUUCAAAUAUUUCUAAAAGUUUCAGAUUCUCUAGUUUUCGUUCUUGGCCUUUUGUUGUUGUUGUAACUUGUUUAAAAGGAAGAAGGGAAUCCAUGCUUCCCUGCCUGCUUGGCCUGAGUUGACGUCCUUGCUCUGGGCUGUGAGGUCUACAUACCUGGCCCUGCAAGGUUCAGUCCCACGCAUGGACCUUCUGUGUCUGCAACCUCCCAGCAUCAGCACGAAAAAGCAACCUGCCGUAGAGAGCGGGGGUGUGGUCCAGCAGUCCUGCACCUGCUGGGAUGUGGAUGAGGCGCAUGUUGAGAACAACCCGGUGGGAAAGGCCUACUUUCUCAAGUGCUCCUUCUGGGAAAACAGCCCCAGGUGUUCAGAGACCAGCUGCAGACCAAACGGCAAAGCUGCAGACCAUCCCCCGCCGGCCUUUGUGACCAAGAAGAAACACCCUGUGAGUUAAGUGUCCAGUUAAAACAUGGAGAGGCCAAGGUGAUGGCUGAGCGGCGCUCAGUGUUGGGUCCUUCUGGCUUGGGAAGGGCACGCCCCGUGCCUUGAGCCCUUUGUCACACGUUUUUGUUCCAUGAAACAGAUAAUUGCUGAUUUGGGGACGAUAACCUCAGAUACUAGCUAAACCAUUUUUGAACUUCCCAAGGAGCCUUUACUCGCUGUCAUUUGAUCCCACCCUUCCCGGCUUUUCAUUCCUGAUCCCACUUGUUUACAGUGAAUUUAAUCUCUGUCCUACUGAGGGUUUAGUGGGACAAAUCCCAACCUCCCUGGCCAUGUGACCACAUCAGCUCAGCCCAGAAAAGGGGCUUUAAAUGUGUCUGUCUCUCGAAAGAACAAACAGUCUCAAGGCUUUAAAACUCCCCCUGUAAAGAGUCUUUAAAGGACAUCAGCCCUUGGAGUGAUAGGGGGACCACCCCGGGACAGGAUAAACCAGGUUUU